RNAcentral lists this ribosomal RNA (509 nucleotides) under uncultured bacterium. RNAcentral describes it as "bacterial SSU rRNA". It matches the Rfam family "Bacterial small subunit ribosomal RNA", at positions 394 to 896 of the family's 1533-position model. The record is from RNAcentral.
AUGCCGCGUGUGUGAAGAAGGCCUUCGGGUUGUAAAGCACUUUUGUCCGGAAAGAAAUCGCACUUACUAAUAUUAGGUGUGGAUGACGGUACCGGAAGAAUAAGGACCGGCUAACUACGUGCCAGCAGCCGCGGUAAUACGUAGGGUCCAAGCGUUAAUCGGAAUUACUGGGCGUAAAGCGUGCGCAGGCGGUUGUGCAAGACCGAUGUGAAAUCCCCGGGCUUAACCUGGGAAUUGCAUUGGUGACUGCACGGCUAGAGUGUGUCAGAGGGGGGUAGAAUUCCACGUGUAGCAGUGAAAUGCGUAGAGAUGUGGAGGAAUACCGAUGGCGAAGGCAGCCCCCUGGGAUAACACUGACGCUCAUGCACGAAAGCGUGGGGAGCAAACAGGAUUAGAUACCCUGGUAGUCCACGCCCUAAACGAUGUCAACUAGUUGUUGGGGAUUCAUUUCCUUAGUAACGUAGCUAACGCGUGAAGUUGACCGCCUGGGGAGUACGGUCGCAAGAUUA